This 496-nucleotide ribosomal RNA is filed under the name uncultured bacterium. RNAcentral describes it as "partial 16S ribosomal RNA". It matches the Rfam family "Bacterial small subunit ribosomal RNA", at positions 28 to 506 of the family's 1533-position model. The record is from RNAcentral.
GAUGAACGCUGGCGGCGUGCCUAAUACAUGCAAGUCGAGCGAACGGACGAGAAGCUUGCUUUUCUGAUGUUAGCGGCGGACGGGUGAGUAACACGUGGAUAACCUACCUAUAAGACUGGGAUAACUUCGGGAAACCGGAGCUAAUACCGGAUAAUAUUUUGAACCGCAUGGUUCAAAAGUGAAAGACGGCCUUGCUGUCACUUAUAGAUGGAUCCGCGCUGCAUUAGCUAGUUGGUAAGGUAACGGCUUACCAAGGCAACGAUGCAUAGCCGACCUGAGAGGGUGAUCGGCCACACUGGAACUGAGACACGGUCCAGACUCCUACGGGAGGCAGCAGUAGGGAAUCUUCCGCAAUGGGCGAAAGCCUGACGGAGCAACGCCGCGUGAGUGAUGAAGGUCUUCGGAUCGUAAAACUCUGUUAUUAGGGAAGAACAUAUGUGUAAGUAACUGUGCACAUCUUGACGGGACCUAAUCAGAAAGCCACGGCUAACUACGU